RNAcentral lists this non-coding RNA (85 nucleotides) under unidentified. Its description in RNAcentral is "Endosymbiont of SAH sequence". It matches the Rfam family "SAH (S-adenosyl-L-homocysteine) riboswitch aptamer". The record is from RNAcentral.
CAUGCCGAGGAGCGCUGCAACGGAUUCAAUUCCGCCAGGCUCGGCAGGGAGGUUGAAACAACAUGACAAACCGCGCUCACUCACG